Long non-coding RNA from Lathyrus oleraceus (garden pea), 879 nucleotides. RefSeq lists it as uncharacterized. Lineage: Eukaryota; Viridiplantae; Streptophyta; Magnoliopsida; Fabales; Fabaceae. The record is from RefSeq and is a predicted model, not a curated record. The transcript has 2 exons.
GUUAUCCAGGAGGGGGUGUGAGGAUUGACAUGGGGUGUAGCCAGAAGAUAUGAUGGGCUAAGGGCUUUGAUCCCAAAACGUGAAGCCAAGUGAAGGUGCAGGGAUUAGAAAGCUCAUUUCAAAUUUCUCAUUCAAUUCACGUCCAUGAACCUUGUUCCUUCCACUUCAUUGGAGAUCAAAACCUCGCCGCACCAAAAAUCACUUCAAGCGGCGGUGUAGGUCCAAAUUCUCCCAAACACACACCAAUCUGCUCGUCUUGAUUCCCUCUCUCACAAUCUACAACAUGUUUUCCUUAAUUCCUACCCAAUAUUCCAAAUUGAACAAACAAUUCUAUGAACCCUAAAAAUGAAAUCUGAAAUUAAACGCGAAGGGAACUCCAAGAGGAAUCCAAACCUUAGGGGUUUGGUCCCUACGCUAUCAGUCUACAUUGGGGCAAUAAACUAUGAACUAAAAUGAUGAAUUUCAAGGGAGAAACUGAUCUACAAAGCGGAUACUUCAUUGAAUCUUAAGGCCGAUGCAAAUGGAUUAAUAAAAUACCAGAGACACAACAGGGCUAGUAUGGUCAUGACUUGGCAUUGGUCAAGGGGCUAGUAUGGUCAUGACAAUGUUCAUGACUCAAGGUUCCUUCAUGGAGCAACUUGGAUGCUUUGGGGCAACAAAAACAUAUAGGAAGACUUGUAACUGAAGAAAAAUGGGACUAGUGUUUAGGAGUAGUGGUUGACUUUGGUCAACUAUUUGGACCAAAAAGCCAACAGUUAGCCAAAAGUCAACUCUCGGCAAAAAUGAUGUAAUUUGGUAAUUGGUAUUAUAAUAUGAUUUGGAUGAUUUUGUAAUGACAAAUGGCUUCUCUUUUGAAAUGAAAUAUGUGUGUGCUUCAUA